GUGCCAGCAGCCGCGGUAAUACGGAGGGUGCGAGCGUUAAUCGGAAUUACUGGGCGUAAAGCGCACGCAGGCGGUUUGUUAAGUCAGAUGUGAAAUCCCCGGGCUCAACCUGGGAACUGCAUCUGAUACUGGCAAGCUUGAGUCUCGUAGAGGGGGGUAGAAUUCCAGGUGUAGCGGUGAAAUGCGUAGAGAUCUGGAGGAAUACCGGUGGCGAAGGCGGCCCCCUGGACAGAUACUGACACUCAGAUGCGAAAGCGUGGGGAGCAAACAGGAUUAGAUACCCCAGUAGUCC
This 292-nucleotide ribosomal RNA is filed under the name uncultured prokaryote. RNAcentral's name for it is "partial 16S ribosomal RNA". It matches the Rfam family "Bacterial small subunit ribosomal RNA", at positions 505 to 796 of the family's 1533-position model. The record is from RNAcentral.